AGUAAACGCAGUCUUGAAUUUUCCUGUCCAACUUUGAUCAUCCGUUUAUUUAAAAUUUUUUUAUGAUUAGCAUUUUAUUGUUAUUAGAUUAUAAAACAUGAGUUAUACUUUAUACGUAACUUAUGUUUUAUAAGUUAUUUGAAAAAAAUUUCAAAUAAGAUGAACGAUUAAAGUUAGACACGAAAAAUCAUGGAUACGCUUAUU
Molecule: microRNA precursor, 204 nt
Organism: Oryza rufipogon (brownbeard rice)
Lineage: Eukaryota; Viridiplantae; Streptophyta; Magnoliopsida; Poales; Poaceae
Rfam family: MIR812 microRNA precursor family
Source: Rfam